This 2209-nucleotide long non-coding RNA is filed under the name Homo sapiens (human). RNAcentral describes it as "PREDICTED lncRNA (TCONS_00067682)". The record is from RNAcentral. Lineage: Eukaryota; Metazoa; Chordata; Mammalia; Primates; Hominidae.
ACUGUGAAGUCACAAGAGGCCCUGAGCUCUGUGGGCCCCAGGUGCCCCGGGAAAACUUGGGGGAGAAUGGGCAUCCCACCCCAGCACUUUCUAGGAAGAAGGGCAGCAUUUUGAAGGGCUGGAAGUAGAGGAAGGAGGUUGCGGGUAGAAGACUCCAUACUUUCUGUGACGCCUAUUCCUUAGGUAGGAACUUAGGAACCUCAGUCAGAGGCAUGGCUUGCCUGGGCCUCUGGGUGCAGCUGCACAGAUUCAAGCAGCCUGAAGGAAAGGUGACUGACAGCUAAUGAUCUGAAAAGAACUUGUCUCAACUCAACGUCAUUCCUGGCAUUAUCGAACAAAGCAAUAAACCUCACAGAAUGGAAGCUACAGUGUCCAGGGCCAGCUCUGCUAAGGUAACCAAAGACAGAGAAGGAGGCAAAAGUGACAGAAGAAACUCAUGGGAAACCAACAGAAAUAUAAUGGCUUUGGCAGAAAUGCAAUUAUCAAUUGGGAGCUUGUGAUGAAUGUUUUCUCAGUAUCCUAUGCUGAAAACAGGUAGAUACUAAUAUCGAUCUUCAAGGGAGGGCUGUUGAGUAUUGAAUAAGACAAAAACAUGGAAGCAAUCAGCACCAUGCUGGAAUCAAGGCUAUCUGUAAUCACAGGGCUAUUUGAAAAAGAGAAGAAAAGGUGUCUUGAAAUUCAACCAACAUGUUUCAAUUAUUUGCUCCUAAGAACAACAGAAGUUUCAACAUUCUGCCAACAGAGUAACUCCUGGAAGAUUGGCACAGAAGAAGGCACAAGGAGAGCCUUUAUAUAACCAAAGAUAUUUUUGGACCAUGAAUUCAGAAAUUCUCGGAGCCACCCAUCAGUGCCUGAGCUUCAGUGAGUCCAUAUCCCAUGUCACCCACGGCAAAGGAGACUCUAAGACUUCUGAAGAGUUUCUUGCUUCUUUCCUGUGGGGCAGUGACUCCACUUCCCAGCAGUAAUGGAAUAUCCUGAAUUAGCUACAUUAAUGUUAGAACCAUUUGGACCUCACCCAGGACUUCAACUACAUUAUGCUAAAGUUACAGAACCCAAAUUUGGCAACUGUCUGCAUCUGAACAACAGAAGUUUCAACAUUCUGCCAACAGAGUAACUCCUGGACGAUUGGCACAGAAGAAGGCACAAGGCAAAUACCCAUCUCUGUACACCCUGUGCUACUGUGUCAUGUGCUGCUCCAGGCAACUCCAAUGGAUUGGCCACCCUGGCCAAUGUGUGAGUUAUAAAGCAAUGAUGUGUAGCUAUUGAACCUACAAUUUGGUUAAAGUUAAACUCUCAAGUUUUAUAUGUUUACAAGCAUAUUGUCCUUUUGUUAAUUUCCUCCCAGUACUCAUUUCUUGACUUCUUUUAGUUUUACUAUGUAGUAAUUUUUAAAAUGUUAGUCAAAGUUAGUUAAUUUAAUUCACUUAGCAGAUUUUCCUGUAAUUUUGGUUAAACAGUAUCCUUUCUGUACAGGCCCUCCAAACACCAGCACUGAGUAGAAAGAGGCUCUGAUUCAUGAAAUGUGAAUUUAUGACAGUUGCCACUCUUAAAAAAAAAAACAAACAGACAGAACUUGAGCAAUACAUGACUGAUGCAUUCUCAGCCUGCUUCCUGUGUUCCAUCUGUCUUUCUGCCAGUGCAUUCACCCUCCAGGUUCUAGUAUGUUACGUUUAUGUUCCCCUGCUUUCUACAAUCCUGUUCAAAGAGUUGCUGACUUAACCACAGAGAGGAUUCCAGAACCUGAGACACAGAAUAAACUUGAGCAAUCAUAGUCCAUCCACUUCAUUGUCUCAUCAAAAACCAAAGGUCCAGUGAAGCUCUGGAACUCAACGCUGUAAAGGAGCGAAGGAGCUUCUAUACAGAGCCUGGAUGCCUGUCUCCUUAUCCUACUUCAGUGGACUUGACUGCAAUCCGGAUUAUGCUGUUUUCUAAGCAUUUAAAAUAAAAUAAAAAGUAUAAUAGUGUGAUAAGUUCUUUCACAAAGCAAGCAAUCACAUUUAUGUUUCUACUUACAUUUGGGUUUUCCAAAUAUGUGUGUGUGUGUGUGUGUGUGUGUGUGUGUGUGUAUGUAGACUUUAAACAUGGUGCAUCCAUCAUGUUGCACUAAAUCAAAACCACCAAAUAAUGAUGUAGAACUAAUAAAUCAAAACCAUCAAAUAAUGACAUAGAAAUCCAAUUCUCCCACCUUACACCCAUUAAGAUGGCUACU